This 213-nucleotide ribosomal RNA is filed under the name Triticum aestivum (bread wheat). Its description in RNAcentral is "partial small subunit ribosomal RNA". Lineage: Eukaryota; Viridiplantae; Streptophyta; Magnoliopsida; Poales; Poaceae. The record is from RNAcentral.
AUGGACCCGGUCAAGUCGGCGGAACUUCAGGCGCAGCUUAAGGAGAUGAGGGCGGAGCUGAAGGAACGAUCUCUCCCCGGCGCCAAGGUGGUGAAGAAGAACAGGGCGGAGCUGCGGGAGGCGUACAGCAACCUCGAACCACCCAUCCUCCGUCUCAACUCCCGGCAAGACCCGUGCGCAUCACCACCAGGUGUUGUCAUGCUCUCAGGUUGA